RNAcentral lists this ribosomal RNA (253 nucleotides) under uncultured bacterium. Its description in RNAcentral is "partial 16S ribosomal RNA". It matches the Rfam family "Bacterial small subunit ribosomal RNA", at positions 524 to 776 of the family's 1533-position model. The record is from RNAcentral.
UACGUAGGGGGCUAGCGUUGUCCGGAAUCAUUGGGCGUAAAGCGCGUGUAGGCGGCCCGGUAAGUCCGCUGUGAAAGUCGGGGGCUCAACCCUCGGAUGCCGGUGGAUACUGUCGGGCUUGAGUACGGAAGAGGCGAGUGGAAUUCCUGGUGUAGCGGUGAAAUGCGCAGAUAUCAGGAGGAACACCAAUUGCGAAGGCAGCUCGCUGGGACGUAACUGACGCUGAGACGCGAAAGCGUGGGGAGCAAACAGG